UCGAGAAUCUUCCACAAUGGUCGAAAGACUGAUGGAGCGACGCUGCGUGCAGGAUGACGGCCUUAGGGUUGUAAACUGCUGUCACGCUUACGGAACCCGCGUACAUGAAUAGUGUGCGCGCUGACCUAGGCGAAAGGAAGUGCCGGCUAACUCCGUGCCAGCAGCCGCGGUAAUACGGAGGGCGCAAGCGUUGUUCGGAAUCACUGGGCAUAAAGAGCACGUAGGCGGUCCGCUAAGUCGAAUGUGAAAGCCCCCGGCUCAACCGGGGAACAGCAUCCGAUACUGGCGGGCUAGAGGAAGGCAGGGGUGAGUGGAACUCCAGGUGGAACGGUGAAAUGUGUAGAUAUCUGGAGGAACACCGGUGGCGAAAGCGGCUCACUGGGCCUUUCCUGACGCUGAGGUGCGAAAGCUAGGGUAGCAAACGGGAUUAGAUACCCCCGUAGUCCCUGAGCGGGCUGGCAAGGCGCAU
Molecule: ribosomal RNA, 469 nt
Filed under: uncultured bacterium
Lineage: Bacteria
Description: bacterial SSU rRNA
Rfam family: Bacterial small subunit ribosomal RNA
Source: RNAcentral